This 2946-nucleotide long non-coding RNA is filed under the name Triticum aestivum (bread wheat). RNAcentral describes it as "long non-coding RNA (TAES_LNC002357)". Lineage: Eukaryota; Viridiplantae; Streptophyta; Magnoliopsida; Poales; Poaceae. The record is from RNAcentral.
GACGGUGAACCCGAUAAAGUCAAUCCGUGCUUUAUUAUUAAUAGCACAAAUGCCCGUGCGUUGCAACGGGAGAAAAACUUAACGUGAUCCUGGUGAACUUAACGGGAGAUAUCAUGCACAAAGCAAAAUUAAUGAGUAGAGGAAGCCCCGAGGCGGAGCUAGACGUGGCUACCAUGUUUGUGCUGCAGGAACACACCACAUGUAGUACUCCAACAUCAUCUGUUCACCGCCCCUCCAUAGUUUUGUCCCUUCAGGAAGCCGGUGCUCUUGGUAGAAAGAAGAAGUCCCGUGAAGACAGUCACCAUGUGGCUGCUCAUGUGACAGGGCAACACCUCUACACAUCGCCAUUGAAUCGGGACAUGCAUGUCCUCCUGCUUCAGGAAGAAUGCCUGCCAUUGUCCGGAGGCAACCAUCACGCUGUCUUUGACGUUGUACAAACAGAUAGAGUCCGAGGACCAGAGCAUGUUGGAACAGUGCUGAAGGCUGUGUCGUGGAAGUCCACGGGUCCACACCACACCCUGUUGGUAGCGAUUUGUGUUUGACGAAGAACACAAUAUAGCGCAAAGGCUAACAAAACAAGGGACAACUUCACAUUCUAUCAAGAGAACCUCGUUAUCAUUAACAGGAUCAGAAGGAAGAUUCAAACACCAAUGUCACAUCUUUACGGGAAAAAGCUCGUCGUGCCUGAACUUGUACCUCCACUUGCCGAAGCUGAUGACCCAGAGCCCUUGUCGCCGAGCUAGCUGUAAUUAUUUUCUAAAAUACAUCAGAGAACAUGUCAACUACAUCAGAGAACCUGGUAAUUAUUCUCUAAAAUACGAUAACUGUAUCGAAACAACCUCUUAGGCGGUAGUUACAUCAGAGAGCCAGUUUUUUCAUGUUUUGUCAGGGCAUGCUAGCAUCAGCUCAUGCACUUCCUAGCCGUAGGUCGCUGGAAUUCACUAUGGUGCUAGUAGAGCGUACAUUGGCUGGCCACGCACGUGCUGCCAUGGUGUGCUGAACUACUGAUAUCUUCCAAUCGUGCUGAACUACUGAUAUCAUUUUAUUAUUUUCUUUGAAAGGGUGGAUGCAUGCUAGUGUGCAGAUGGUUUUGCAUCCAAAAAUUAAUAAAAACAUAUGCUACAUUUUGAAGGGGAAAUGCAUCGUACAUGGUAUAGUUACCAUUUACUACCUAAUCAGCCGAGUUAUCAAUAAUCAUGCAUAACAAUAUUAUUUCAAUCAUCUUAAGGGGGUUGUUUCAAUCAUCUUAAGGGGUAUGUCAAAAUAGUACAGUGUAUAAUAAAUGGAAAAAGGAACUAAAUGCACCAUACAUAUGACUCACAAGGCUGCAUUGAGGUACUUUUCAAGUCAAUCGUGCAGGACGCACUAAACACAAUCAAAUUAUGGUUCAUAGAUGCACAUAAUAUAGCAUUGGACAUCAAAUAAAUCUGAGAAACGCGAAUAAAAAAUUACAACAAAAGCAGGUCGGUUGAGUAAUGAAUAAGCUGCAAAUAUCAUGUUGAGAAGUGAAAUUGAGAUAUCACAUAUGCAAAUAAACAGCAGUAAAUAUGUACUGUUAAUGAAUUUCAAUAAACUAAUCAUUUGAACUUGUGGUGACUGGUGGGUCAUUGACAAAAAAAAGGGUAAAAGUACUUCCUUAGGGUAACUAAAGUGUGUCUGGCUCUGCUGGCCUUAGAAAAUGGUGGAAAAUGAUAGCAAAUUUAGUUCGUGUAGCACACCUAAGCUUCAUGGAUAACAAAUUGUUCAAGUAGCAGUCUUGCUAUCUGGUGGCAUAUAACUACCAAUCAUAAUCCACGAAGAAUUUCUGAAAUUUAGAUUAUUCUGAACAUUUUUAGAAACCCCAGAGACAUUCAGCAGGUAACAGAGGGCAUGCAUACUAUGUAAUCUAGGGACAUGUGUUAUCUGAAGUCUAAACAUUGCCUGAAAUGCUACGCAAAAUAAGUACAGCUUCAACAAAGAACUAACAAUGAAAUAAGAGAUUUCAUGCCUGGCCUCAAUCAGAACAGCCAACACCCUUUUCUGAAGUGCCAAUACCUCUCCUUUUGCCUAUUCCCUGCAUCAUAGAGCAUACAUAAUGAUAAGAAUAACAUUAGGCUGGAAACCAUUGACCCAUGUACAGAAGAGAACAUAGAGCUACAAAAGUAACACGAGACGCUUUAUAUGAUUAUAUCACAAACCAUCUAUGAAUCGAUCAACACAUCAUUCAAAUAUAAUAUUGAUGCAAUGCCAUGGAGCCCAUCUGGCAGGAGCAUGCUCCCUUGUGGAUACAAACAGACAUGAAUGACUGAAGGAGGGAUUUGAAAUUUCAGUAACUACAUUUUUUUUUUAGAAAAGGAGGAUGACCUCCGGCCUCUGCAUCUGGAAGAUGCACUACUAUGCAAGUACCUGCAUGAAUGCUGUAGCAAUCUGGUAGGACUCAUCUAGUAGGGAUAUCACAUACACUCUGAAUCUGCAGCUCCUCUUCUCCUGCGGUUGUCCGAUUUUUUUCCAAUAAGUAACAGAUGCGUGAACCAUGGUGGCAUUACUUGCUUAUCGGCACAUAUGAAUGAUGUAUGGGAAGAAACAAACUAUCACUGGGAAGCGGAUUCCUAUCAAAAUAGAGAUCGAUCUGACGGAGAUAUACAUACAGGCUACAAUAACCAACAUGAAGGCUGAGGCUGGACGUCGUCCUUACAACUUCCUUGCCCGAUGGCUCGCACAGGCCGUCGCCACCCAACACGGGAUGUCAGCCGACCAGUCCAGGAAGCGCCCCCCUGAACUUGACUCAGCCCGCUGUCAGCAAUUGGAUCUCAUGGGUGCGCUGCAGGCAAGGACGUUUGGUGUUCCUCCGCCUCCAUGGGAUCUUCCCCUCCCCUCCUCUCUCCCGAGCCGAUUUACGGGAGGAGUUAGACAGGCGGCGGCGCGCGGCGAUGUGGGGCAGCAGGAGGUGGUGGCGCGAUUGAGGCG